AUCUGCUCCACUGGAGUUUACCACGUGUGCUCAGGAUAGGAUUGGCUGAGGUGGGAAGAGAAUCAUGGAAGUCAUGCGGCCCAACAACCAGAGCAGAGUGCCCAGGUCCAUGUCCAGGUGGUUUUUGAAGACGUCCAGUGGGGAGACUCCACAAUCUUUCUUGCAUACAUAUGCAGAAAUUACACACAGCUCAGCUGUUCUGGGCUAUAAAUGGGACACAUGCCAAGGAAGGAUGUAGGACCUUCAGUCACCCAAGGGAGAAUUACUGUUUGGGAGAACUCAACACAGCACAGGACUUUCUUUUUAAUUGCAUCAAAGGAAACUAAGGUUGAAGGAGAUCUACAGUAAGUCAUUCAGUUCUUCCAAAUCAAAACCAGGAUACACACACAUUUUUCUCUAGGUGUGUUGUGCAGUAGUGCUUUUUCCAUAUCUACUUUUUCCUCCCUUUGCUUGUUUUAGACUAAUACACUAGUUCUCUCUGUGAUUAUAGCUUGUGCUGCAGAGAGAAGUCUGCCCAGAAGUGACUGGUAAAGUCUACUAUAAUGUGCACAUAUCAACAGUUUCAUGCUACAUUAUAAUAUCCAGCAAAGAUGAAAGAAAACACAGGUUGUAGUGGUUCACACAGAUAAUGUAACAUCUGCUAUGUAAUCUGGGAGAAUGAUUUGUCUGCCUAAUCAUCAAUAUUACUCACGCUUAUGUAGAAAAAUAAACAGCAUGAAAAAUGUA
Molecule: non-coding RNA, 726 nt
Organism: Meleagris gallopavo (turkey)
Lineage: Eukaryota; Metazoa; Chordata; Aves; Galliformes; Phasianidae
Source: RefSeq, a predicted model, not a curated record